Molecule: transfer RNA, 77 nt
Filed under: Herbaspirillum rubrisubalbicans M1
Lineage: Bacteria; Pseudomonadati; Pseudomonadota; Betaproteobacteria; Burkholderiales; Oxalobacteraceae
Description: tRNA-OTHER
Source: RNAcentral
GCGCCGUUGUGCGAAGGAGAUAGAAGAUCGGAUUGAAAAUCCUUGUGUCGGUGGUUCGAUUCCGCCACGGGCCACCA